RNAcentral lists this ribosomal RNA (461 nucleotides) under uncultured Leptolinea sp. RNAcentral's name for it is "bacterial SSU rRNA". It matches the Rfam family "Bacterial small subunit ribosomal RNA", at positions 903 to 1381 of the family's 1533-position model. The record is from RNAcentral. Lineage: Bacteria; Bacillati; Chloroflexota; Anaerolineae; Anaerolineales; Anaerolineaceae.
AAAGGAAUUGACGGACCCGCACAAGCAGCGGAGCGUGUGGUUAAUUCGAGGCUACACGAAGAACCUUACCAGGGUUUGACAUGCAAGUGGUAGGAAUCCGAAAGGUGACCGACCCUUCGGGAGCUUGCACAGGUGCUGCAUGGCUGUCGUCAGCUCGUGUCGUGAGAUGUUCGGUUAAGUCCGCUAACGAGCGCAACCCUCGUCGUGUGUUAUACGUGUCACACGAUACUGCCGGUAUCAAGCCGGAGGAAGGUGGGGAUGAUGUCAAGUCAGCAUGGCCUUUAUAUCCUGGGCUACACACACGCUACAAUGGCAGAUACAAUAGGUUGCGAAACCGCGAGGUGGAGCCAAUCCUCAAAGUCUGUCUCAGUUCAGAUUGUAGGCUGCAACUCGCCUGCAUGAAGUUGGAGUUGCUAGUAAACGCAGGUCAGCUAUACUGCGUUGAAUACGUUCCCGGGUUU